GGCUCAAUGGUCUAGGGGUCAUGAUUCUCGCUUUGGGAGCGAGAGGUCCCGGGUUCGAAUCCCGGUUGAGCCC
RNAcentral lists this transfer RNA (73 nucleotides) under Aromia moschata. RNAcentral describes it as "tRNA-Pro". It matches the Rfam family "tRNA". From Rfam's summary of the family: Transfer RNA (tRNA) molecules are approximately 80 nucleotides in length. Their secondary structure includes four short double-helical elements and three loops (D, anti-codon, and T loops). Further hydrogen bonds mediate the characteristic L-shaped molecular structure. tRNAs have two regions of fundamental functional importance: the anti-codon, which is responsible for specific mRNA codon recognition, and the 3' end, to which the tRNAs corresponding amino acid is attached (by aminoacyl-tRNA synthetases). tRNAs cope with the degeneracy of the genetic code in two manners: having more than one tRNA (with a specific anti-codon) for a particular amino acid; and 'wobble' base-pairing, i.e. permitting non-standard base-pairing at the 3rd anti-codon position. The record is from RNAcentral. Lineage: Eukaryota; Metazoa; Arthropoda; Insecta; Coleoptera; Cerambycidae.